UGGGGAAUUUUGGACAAUGGGGGAAGCCCUGAUCCAGCCAUCCCGCGUGUGCGAUGAAGGCCUUCGGGUUGUAAAGCACUUUUGGCAGGAAAGAAACGUCAUGGGUUAAUACCCCGUGAAACUGACGGUACCUGCAGAAUAAGCACCGGCUAACUACGUGCCAGCAGCCGCGGUAAUACGUAGGGUGCAAGCGUUAAUCGGAAUUACUGGGCGUAAAGCGUGCGCAGGCGGUUCGUAAAGAAAGAUGUGAAAUCCCAGAGCUCAACUUUGGAACUGCAUUUUUAACUACCGGGCUAGAGUGUGUCAGAGGGAGGUGGAAUUCCGCGUGUAGCAGUGAAAUGCGUAGAUAUGCGGAGGAACACCGAUGGCGAAGGCAGCCUCCUGGGAUAACACUGACGCUCAUGAACGAAAGCGUGGGGAGCAAACAGG
This 429-nucleotide ribosomal RNA is filed under the name Acidobacteriota bacterium. RNAcentral describes it as "Acidobacteria bacterium partial 16S ribosomal RNA". It matches the Rfam family "Bacterial small subunit ribosomal RNA", at positions 355 to 776 of the family's 1533-position model. The record is from RNAcentral. Lineage: Bacteria; Pseudomonadati; Acidobacteriota.